Molecule: ribosomal RNA, 394 nt
Filed under: uncultured bacterium
Lineage: Bacteria
Description: bacterial SSU rRNA
Rfam family: Bacterial small subunit ribosomal RNA
Source: RNAcentral
AUUGAACGCUGGCGGAAUGCUUUACACAUGCAAGUCGAGCGGCAGCGCGGGGGCAACCCUGGCGGCGAGCGGCGAACGGGUGAGUAACAUAUCGGAACGUACCCAGUCGUGGGGGAUAACUAUCCGAAAGGAUAGCUAAUACCGCAUACGUCCUGAGGGAGAAAGCGGGGGAUCGCAAGACCUCGCGCGAUUGGAGCGGCCGAUAUCGGAUUAGCUAGUUGGUGGGGUAAAGGCUCACCAAGGCGACGAUCCGUAGCGGGUCUGAGAGGACGACCCGCCACACUGGAACUGAGACACGGUCCAGACUCCUACGGGAGGCAGCAGUGGGGAAUUUUGGACAAUGGGGGCAACCCUGAUCCAGCCAUUUCCGCGUGAGUGAAGAAGGCCUCGGUUG